GAUGGGCUGACUGGAGAGUGGGUAUUAAAUGUGAUAAAUGGGGUGGAAUGCCAUUGUCAACCAUCCCAAAAUGUCCCUACAGACAUUCUCCCACCUGCCAGCCAGCAGGUAAAACCCCUCUGCUGUAAAACGGUCAACCAUGAGCCAGCUGGCCAGUGCUUGCAAACCAGCUGAUACAAAGUUUUAAAAUAAAUGUAAAAAGCCUAUGUGACCAAACAGAGAGCAGCCAUUGACUGCCCACUGCCACUUAAAUCUAGUGACUGGGCACGGG
Non-coding RNA from Pelobates cultripes (western spadefoot toad), 271 nucleotides. The record is from the annotation of a GenBank genome assembly. NCBI's taxonomy places the organism in Eukaryota, Metazoa, Chordata, Amphibia, Anura, Pelobatidae.